CAAUCCAGGUUGGAUCGGGCCUAUGCUGUUCUUUGCUGCUGUGAUAUUUCUGAGUCGUGAUUAUCACCGGGCGAAUAUCGGCACAGGCCCGGUCCUUCUUU
Caenorhabditis brenneri is the source of this 101-nucleotide non-coding RNA. Lineage: Eukaryota; Metazoa; Nematoda; Chromadorea; Rhabditida; Rhabditidae. The record is from Rfam.